CUUUUCUAGGAGGUAGCAGGGAAUGGUCUUCAGGUGAGGACAAGAGCAGCACACCCCAGUGGAAAGGGAAAAGCUGUGUCAUUUAUAUUCCCAAACAGGUGAGCGUGGGUUCUUCUGCCAGCACCGUGAGGUGUCUCAUGCAGGGAGGAGAGGCAGAAGGGCUGAAGGAGAACAACCAAGCAGCAGUUAUGCAGGUGCCAUCUUCAGCAAGAGAGAGUGUACUGGAAACUGCAGUGAUAGAAACAAACUGCUGGGGAAUCUGUGAUUUGUAUAGACAGACAGAUAAUGUCACUUAAUCUCAUUCUGGCUCCCCGCCAAGCAACCCACAGAAGAUUUCAUGCUCAAGCCCGGAGAGGAAUCCGCUCAGUCUCUUUUUAACGCAUUUACACUGAGAAACUGCACCAGCAGCAGAUUGAUUUGAUCAACCCGAACCCACACGCCCCCCUCUGCGCUCCUGGCUGCCGUGCGAGGGCAGUGUUAGCUCAGCAAGCUGGGUGCUGGGUGCUCGCUGCCUGCACCUCCCAGCCCGGGGCUGUGCGGCUGCCUGGGGGGGACCAGGGACAUUUUCCUGUCCCAAGGAUGGCUCCUGCGGAGGAGCUGCCCGUACUUGUCAGAUACCGGAAGAGGGAUUACGCUGUAGUGGGAUGUGGAGAUCAUAAAAAUGGCUUGUUUGGAAGUGCUCUGUGAUCGCUGCGGCAUCCUCAGCAGACAGCACCGAGGUGGAAGCAGAACUGCCAGAGUACAGAAAAGCAGGGGCUGAGACUAGGGAGGAGAGAAGCAUCAGGAAAAUCCCCUUGCUGGGCAGGGAAACCCUCUGCGGAAGUGGAAACGGAGCAUUUGCGCUUGGAAAAUCACAAAGGAGCGAGGGAAGCUUGCACCGGCAAGACAUUUCCCAGAAGUGUGCUGCCGGCAGUGUUCUUUGCCCUGCGCAGCCUGACGAGCGUUCGGGUUGAUCCCGGCAUCUCCAGGAACGGCAGCGGGGCCAGGCUGGGGAUGCAGGAUCCGGCCCUGAGCCCCUGUGCGCACGUCGUGGCAGCAAGUCCUCGGUAACAAAGCCGCCGCACGGAAUAAAGGAACGAGGAUUCAGCUUUAAUUA
Molecule: long non-coding RNA, 1096 nt
Filed under: Anas zonorhyncha (Eastern spot-billed duck)
Lineage: Eukaryota; Metazoa; Chordata; Aves; Anseriformes; Anatidae
Description: lncRNA (ENSAZOG00000006971.1)
Source: RNAcentral